AUUGAACGCUGGCGGCAUGCCUUACACAUGCAAGUCGAACGGUAACGCGGGGCAACCUGGCGACGAGUGGCGAACGGGUGAGUAAUGCAUCGGAACGUACCCAGUAGUGGGGGAUAGCCCGGCGAAAGCCGGAUUAAUACCGCAUACGACCUACGGGUGAAAGGGGGGGAGUCGCAAGACCUCUCGCUAUUGGAGCGGCCGAUGUCAGAUUAGGUAGUUGGUGGGGUAAAGGCCUACCAAGCCUGUGAUCUGUAGCUGGUCUGAGAGGACGACCAGCCACACUGGGACUGAGACACGGCCCAGACUCCUACGGGAGGCAGCAGUGGGGAAUUUUGGACAAUGGGCGCAAGCCUGAUCCAGCAAUGCCGCGUGCGGGAGAAGGCCUCGGUUGUAA
Molecule: ribosomal RNA, 394 nt
Filed under: uncultured bacterium
Lineage: Bacteria
Description: bacterial SSU rRNA
Rfam family: Bacterial small subunit ribosomal RNA
Source: RNAcentral